UUUCAAAGGCGGAUUUGUUUGAAGUUACUUUCAAAUUAUCUUGACAAAAGUGCCCUACUGAUAUCUUGCAAAAGAGUGUCUCAAGAAAGAAAGAAGGAAAGAAAUCCCCUUUAUUUUUGCAUUCCUGAAAACCACACGGAGGUUCCUCAGUUCUUUUUUUGGUUUGUUUUGGUUGUUCUAUGGAAAGGCAAAUUCUUAAGCAGAGACAAACCAGUAUGCUGCUAGAACACUUAAAUUUUUUUUUUCAAGAUCCCUGGAGUCCAAUUCUGCAACUCUUGUUUCAAGCUAAAUUGUAGUCUAAUGUAAACUAUGUUCUAAUGCAUACAGCUAAAAUGUUAAAACCUAUUGUUCAGAAUUAGGAGAAUUCUCCAUCAGUGCAGAAGCUCAGGCUGCAUGACUACUCAAAGUUCUACUGGGGUAUUAUUCCUCUUUCUCUGCCUGCCUGCAUCCCUAUCUUCGUUAUUUUGUGUCUCUUGUGUCUAGCACAAUGUAUGUAUUUCUCUCCCCAGUACUUUAGCUUGUAAAUUCUUUUGAACUCCCUCACUGUUCCCAGCACUACAUUCAGAAGAGAGCUGCUGAAUUAAUCUGUGAUGAAAUCCACUUGUGCAUGUAGGAGGAGAUUUCGGCAGUGAGAUAUCUGAUGCAGAAAGCUCUGGUCCAGAUACUAGAUGUGGUAGUAAAAUAAGAAAAUGAACAAACGGCGAUCUGUGUCAACACACAGAAUUCAAAGGAAAGGCUAGAAGUUUUGAAAACAGAUUUAGUAACACCGAAGACCAAAUCCUGCCCAUGAAUCUGGACAGCUGGCAUGUUGUAAUUGGCCACAGAAAAUUCACGACUUUUAAAUUAACAAUGGCAUCUUCUGUCUUCAGAAAACCAGUUGUGUAAGGUGUUCAGGCCUUACUGGCAGUAAUUCUACCUUUACUUAAUUAAGUAUUUCUGAAAUCAUCAAACCAAUGGUAAACAUAACCCUCUAUUUAAUGGUGACUAAAAAAAAAAAAAAAAGAUUCCUUUUGCAGGUUGAAUAUUAAGGUAAAGUAAGAAUGACUGGGAAGAUUUAUUAGCAAAUACACUCCCAAAAAGAGAAUCCUGUUACUUUGAAGUGACUCCUCCCCAAUCUAGGCCAGAACAAAGAAGUGUGUUAAAAUUAAUGAUUCCAAAGUAUCUCGAAUGCCAUUUCCUAGUCCUUAAUGACGACAACCAAAAAUGUAGUUCUCAGUAAUACAUUUUCUUUCAAGACCAAAUCUUGCAAAUUUAAAGUAAAUAAGGUAGCGCACUGUUGAAGGUAUUUCAAGUUGGAGAGAAAUAUGUUAGCAUUUAUUUUUUAAGCACCUCAAAAUAUAAAAAAUUUUAUAUUCACCUCUUAUUUUUUACUCCCAUGGGUUUGAGCAUCACCAGUUAAACGAGAAAUAUAAUUCAGGAAAAAAAAAAGUUUAGUAUCCAUUUUUACAACAUGCUCCAAAGAGCAGAACUGAAACAACUGAGGUGAUUCAAUGUAUCUUCAAAACUAAACACCUUUCCUCAGCAGUAUAUUUAAAAUGCACACUCCUAGUUAUGUUUUAGCUCUUGGUCUUCUAACCUUGUUCAGAAAACCGUGAAGUCAUUGAUAUGUAUUUUAAUAACUUUGUAAAGCUAAUAAAGUAUCUUCUGACCUUUUAGCCCACAAGGUCAACCGUCUUACGGAAUGUAAGUUCGUCCUUCAGUGCUGGCUCCCCAGUGCAUAAACAGUUGCUCCCACCUGGUAGGCACUCAUGAAAUAUUUCUUGUUGAAUGAUUAAGAUAACCUUUUGUUUCUCUGUCUGUGGAGUCCAUGAAAACAUGAAUCAUUAUUCAGAUAGCACCGUGAUUUUUUAAAAAGAUAACC
Molecule: long non-coding RNA, 1861 nt
Organism: Ursus thibetanus thibetanus
Lineage: Eukaryota; Metazoa; Chordata; Mammalia; Carnivora; Ursidae
Source: Ensembl